CUUCCCAUUUAUUUGAUGCUAUAGUCCUUCGGUGAUAUGAGCAGUUAUACGCAUGGGAUAAAACAAUACUGGGCCCUUGUAAAUGAAGGUGAAGUUGCCAUUUCAUCUCUUCUCCAUGGUCUAGACAUUG
Small nucleolar RNA from Capra hircus (goat), 130 nucleotides. The record is from Ensembl. NCBI's taxonomy places the organism in Eukaryota, Metazoa, Chordata, Mammalia, Artiodactyla, Bovidae.